CCUACGGGCGGCAGCAGUGAGGAAUAUUGGUCAAUGGACGAGAGUCUGAACCAGCCAAGUAGCGUGAAGGAUGACUGCCCUAUGGGUUGUAAACUUCUUUUAUAUGGGAAUAAAAUGUUCCACGUGUGGGAUUUUGUAUGUACCAUAUGAAUAAGGAUCGGCUAACUCCGUGCCAGCAGCCGUGGUAAUACGGAGGAACCGAGCGUUAUCCGGAUUUAUUGGGUUUAAAGGGGGCGUAGGUGGUUUGUUAAGUCAGGUGUGAAAGUUUGCGGCUCAACCGUAAAAUUGCAGUUGAAACUGGCAGUCUUGAGUACAGUAGAGGUAAGCGGAAUUCGUGGUGUAGCGGUGAAAUGCUUAGAUAUCACGAAGAACUCCGAUUGCGAAGGCAGCUCACUGGACUGCAACUGACACUGAGGCUCGAAAGUGUGGGUAUCGAACAGGAUUAGAUACCCCGGUAGUC
This 460-nucleotide ribosomal RNA is filed under the name uncultured bacterium. RNAcentral describes it as "partial 16S ribosomal RNA". It matches the Rfam family "Bacterial small subunit ribosomal RNA", at positions 338 to 795 of the family's 1533-position model. The record is from RNAcentral.